GCGUCGAUGGUUUAGUGGUAAAAUUCUCCGUUGCCAUCCAGCAGCGUCGGGGAGCCGGGGGUUCGACUCCCCCUCGACGCA
This 81-nucleotide transfer RNA is filed under the name Colletotrichum lupini. RNAcentral describes it as "tRNA-Gly". It matches the Rfam family "tRNA". Rfam says of the family: Transfer RNA (tRNA) molecules are approximately 80 nucleotides in length. Their secondary structure includes four short double-helical elements and three loops (D, anti-codon, and T loops). Lineage: Eukaryota; Fungi; Ascomycota; Sordariomycetes; Glomerellales; Glomerellaceae. The record is from RNAcentral.